AUGUCUCCGUACGCUGUGCUCGUCGCGGCCGUCGCCGUGCUCGUCGCCUUCUGCUGCGCGACCAGGAAAGCUCGAGGCAAGAACAGUAAGCUCCCGCCAUCGCCCCCGGCGAUCCCGCUGUUCGGCCACCUCCACCUCCUGGGCCGCCUCGCGCACCGCUCCCUGCGCGACCUGCACGCUCGGUACGGCAGCGACGGCGGCCUCCUGCUCCUGCAGCUCGGGCGCAGGCGGACGCUGGUGGUGUCCACGGCGGCCGCGGCGGCGGACCUGUACAAGAACCACGACCUCGCAUUCGCCUCCCGCGUGCUCAGCGCGCCGGUGCACAAGCUCUCCUACGGCUCGAUCAACGUCUCCUUCGCGCCAUACGGCGACGUCUGGCGCCGCAGCAAGAAGAUGGCCGUCGUCCACCUGCUCUCCCAGCGCCGCGCCGACUCGUUCGCCCCCAUGCGAGCCGCCGAGGCGGCCGCCCUCGUCGCGGGAGUCCGCCGCGCGGCGGAGGCCGGGGAGGCCGUGGAGCUGAGGGGGCUCCUGUACGGCUACGGCAACGCGGUGGUCACCCGCGCGGCCACCGGCGCCGCGGGGGCCACGGCCGAGAGAAUGAAGCAGCUGAUGGGCAACUCCGCGGCGCUCAUGUCGGGGCUCCAGGCGGAGGACGUGCUUCCCGACGCGGCGGCGAAGGUGGUGAGGUGGGCGACGGGGUUCGAGAAGAGGCUCGACGACCAGAUGGAGGCGUGGCACAAGUUCCUGUCCGAGAUAAUCGCCGAGCACCUUGAGAAGAAGGCCCUGAAGAAGUGUGACGACAUCGCAGGGGAGGAGGACUUCUUGGACGUCUUGCUGCGGCUGAGGGAAGAAGGCACCGCCGGACUCGACCUCACCGACGAUCGCAUCAUAAGCAUUGUUCAGGACAUGAUCUUCGCCGGAACUGAGACAUCAUAUAUUACGCUGGAAUGGGCCAUGGCGGAGCUCACGACAAAACCCCACACAAUGGCCAAGUUGCGGGCCGAGGUAACACGAGUCACCAACGACAAGUUGGCCAUCGAAGAAGAUGACCUCAGCAGGAUGGAGUACCUCAAGGCGGUGUUGAGGGAGGUGAUGCGUCUCCACCCACCAGCACCACUCCUCAUCCCACACGAGUCGACGACGACGUCGAUCGUCCAAGGCUACGAGAUCCCGGCAAAGACGACACUCUUUAUCAAUGCGUGGGCAAUCGGGAGGGACCCCAUUGCGUGGGGUGAAGGGGCGGAGGAGUUUUUGCCUGAGAGGUUCUUGGCCAACGGUAACGCGACAGACGUGGACGUGAGGGGAAACGACUACCAACUCCUCCCAUUCGGUGCCGGUCGACGACUCUGUCCCGCCAUCAACUUCGCGAUGCCGACGCUAGAGAUUGCGCUAGCUUGCCUCGUACGCCACUUCGACUGGGGUCUCGCCGCUGGCACAUGUCUGGAGAUGGGCGAGGCCCCGGGGCUGGCCACACCUCCGUCGACUCCGGUGCGCCUUGUCCCCGGAUGCAUAACAACUUAA
RNAcentral lists this ribosomal RNA (1521 nucleotides) under Triticum aestivum (bread wheat). Its description in RNAcentral is "partial small subunit ribosomal RNA". The record is from RNAcentral. Lineage: Eukaryota; Viridiplantae; Streptophyta; Magnoliopsida; Poales; Poaceae.